Molecule: unclassified non-coding RNA, 299 nt
Filed under: uncultured bacterium
Lineage: Bacteria
Description: partial contains 16S ribosomal RNA and 16S-23S ribosomal RNA intergenic spacer region
Rfam family: Bacterial small subunit ribosomal RNA
Source: RNAcentral
AAGUCGGAUGUGCCGCAAGGUGCAUGGCAGACGGGUGAGUAACGCGUGGGGAACCUACCCUUUAGCGGGGAAUAACGCUCCGAAAGGAGUGGUAAUACCGCAUGAGACCGGUGGCUGGGAUGUUGCCGGUGAAAGCUGGGGAUCGAAAGACCUGGCGAGUGAAGGAGGGUCCUGCGUCUGAAGAGCUAGUUGGUGGGGUAACGGCCUACCAAGGCGACGAUCAGUAGCCGGCCUGAGAGGGUGAUCGGCCACAAUGGAACUGAGACACGGUCCAGACUCCUACGGGAGGCAGCAGUGGG